GGGUCAGUAGGUUGGUCGUGCCACCGGUACGUACUGGUCUCACUGAUUCCUCCUUCCUGAAUAACCGUAAUGCCAUUAAUUUGGUGUUGCGGGGAAACAGGACUGUUACUUUGAAAAAAUUAGAGAGUUUAAAGCAAGCUAACGCUUGAAUACAUUAGCAUGGAAUAAUGAAAUAGGACGAUCGAUCCUAUUUUGUUGGUUUCUAGGAUUGACGUA
RNAcentral lists this ribosomal RNA (216 nucleotides) under Glomeromycotina sp. RNAcentral's name for it is "partial small subunit ribosomal RNA". The stretch from base 40 to 216 matches the Rfam family "Eukaryotic small subunit ribosomal RNA", at positions 686 to 864 of the family's 1831-position model. The record is from RNAcentral. Lineage: Eukaryota; Fungi; Glomeromycota.